Molecule: ribosomal RNA, 468 nt
Filed under: uncultured bacterium
Lineage: Bacteria
Description: partial 16S ribosomal RNA
Rfam family: Bacterial small subunit ribosomal RNA
Source: RNAcentral
GACGAACGCUGGCGGCGUGCUUAACACAUGCAAGUCGAACGGAAAGGCCCUGCUUUUGUGGGGUGCUCGAGUGGCGAACGGGUGAGUAACACGUGAGUAACCUGCCCUUGACUUUGGGAUAACUUCAGGAAACUGGGGCUAAUACCGGAUAGGAGCUCCUGCUGCAUGGUGGGGGUUGGAAAGUUUCGGCGGUUGGGGAUGGACUCGCGGCUUAUCAGCUUGUUGGUGGGGUAGUGGCUUACCAAGGCUUUGACGGGUAGGCGGCCUGAGAGGGUGACCGGCCACCUUGCGACUGAGAUACGGCCCAGUCUCCUACGGGAGGCAGCAGUGGGGAAUAUUGCACAAUGGGCGGAAGCCUGAUGCAGCGACGCCGCGUGCGGGAUGACGGCCUUCGGGUUGUAAACCGCUUUCGCCUGUGACGAAGCGUGAGUGACGGUAAUGGGUAAAGAAGCACCGGCUAACUACGUG